AUGCAUUAAGCAAUGACUAUGGCACAAGAGACAAUAUCACAUUCUGUCUAUUGAUAUUUGUUUGUUCCUUCGCCCCUUAAAAGUGU
Sinocyclocheilus rhinocerous is the source of this 86-nucleotide long non-coding RNA. RefSeq lists it as uncharacterized. NCBI's taxonomy places the organism in Eukaryota, Metazoa, Chordata, Actinopteri, Cypriniformes, Cyprinidae. The record is from RefSeq and is a predicted model, not a curated record. The transcript has 3 exons.